Hirundo rustica (Barn swallow) is the source of this 3091-nucleotide long non-coding RNA. RefSeq lists it as uncharacterized. NCBI's taxonomy places the organism in Eukaryota, Metazoa, Chordata, Aves, Passeriformes, Hirundinidae. The record is from RefSeq and is a predicted model, not a curated record. The transcript is spliced from 3 exons.
AAGCCUCGAUCAUUGUCCAUACGGGUUCAGCUCUGCUGUGCUCUCUGCCUUCCCAAGCAUAUAGAGGAGCACAGCAGAUCCUCUGGAAAGGCUGCUGUGAAGCACAGGAAAAGGACUCUGCCUGAGAGCAUCACUGUGUACUUUAAUGCUCCAAGUUCCUGUGUGACUGGUGGGGAACUCUCUAUGCUGCCUGAUUCUGAGUAAAUUGCCUCUUGAAAUAGGAAGUGCUGUUUCUUUUCAUCUGUUGAGGUGCAAUACAAAGGCCAAAUCUCCACCCAUUCUGAAUAUAGCAUUCCUUAGGCUCUAUCUUAUAAAAAGCUGAGGUGUGCUGCAGGAGAACAAGGCAUUUCUUCAGCCUCCUCAGAAACAUCUCGUGACUAAUUGGAAGGAUGAAGCUUCUGGUGCUUUGUGGCUUUCUGUUUGUCUGUCUUCUGUGCUUCAAUAUCUUUGCUGCAGAAGGUCAGAAGGUUAGAAAACGCUGCUGCUCAAAAGUACUCAAAAUCAAGAAAAAUCCAGAUAAAGAUGUAAGUUUUAAAAUGACUCCAAUGGAAAAAAAGAAAUACUGCAAGCCUUGUCCUCGGCAAUUCCAUCCAGUGAUUCCUGGACCACUUCCACAGCUAAAAUGAGCAGACUGAGAGGAGGGUGAAAAGCAUCUGCCUACACGCACAACUGGCACUGCUUCACUAUCUUGAGGACUCUCCUUUCACAGAUAGGACAUGAGUGUACAUUGCUUUUUGUUUGGGGAAAGGUUUCAAUACUGUUUAUUCAUUCCUUCACUCAGGCACCCUUAUUAUUAUUAUUAACCCAGCAGAAAGAGUCAGGCAAAGUUGUCUGGCUGCCACCAGACUUCGUUGGUUGACUAUUCCUCUGCAGCAAGAAGGGAUUUAGCUCCUCAAGCUAAAGAGAAUGAGGAGACCUGGUUGAAGUGAUGGCUGAAUUGCACUGGUUUGCAUUUCUCAAUUGCCUAAAAGGUGGUGAAGGGCUGAUGCUUUUGUUUCUAGUUAUCAGUAUACAUGCAUAUUUAACCUUUCCUUUGAAUCAUUUAUUUUACAUUAACAAAGGUGGUUUUUGUAUGAUUAUCAGUCAUUGAUGAUUUUUCCUGCAGCCCUUGUGCUCGGUGCUUGCGAUCCACUUGGAAGUAGAUUUCUACAAAUGAUAAAAAUCUCAUCAUUUAGAAAGGGCUGAGAAACUAGAUAAGUAGGUUGUUAAAACAGUGGUGAUGGGUCAGAUUCAAGUAAGCUUUUUAAUGUCUUCCAAGGGUGCUAAAUCUGACUUCACAAUCAAAGUGGCCUGGUUUUUAACUUCCUAAAGAGUGUCAUCAGGUGGUUAUUAAAGAGCAUACUGGAAAGAUAUUAAACCUAAUCAGGUUUCAUCUGUUCCUCUAAAGCCAGAAGGCAGCUGUUCUUUCAAGACAAUGGAGUUGUGUGAUUACCUCAAUAAACAAAGCUUACUGGAGCAUGAAAUAAAUGCUAAGAAUAAUACCAAAGGGCUGAAUAACAGAGAAAAUGAAGCAUCCACUGAUACUUUAGUCAUGCAUCUUUUGUCCUUUCCUAACUGUCCUCUGCAUUGCUGCUAUUUCUCUGCCUGAGGGAGAGUCCUUAAAACUGAAUUACUUUGUUGUUCGUUUCCUUCUAGUGAAUAUGAGGAGGAGUAGAAACCCUUGCUGCUGCUGGGAAAAUUGUAGAUUGCAAACAGUAAUUUUUCUGUCAGUACUCAUAGUACUACUCUUUCUCUUAACAUAAUUGUCAGUAUGAUAGAAAUGGUUUCGGUGCCCUUCACGAUUUGGGGGAGUUGAAUGGGAGCAGUCAGAGGUCUGUUGUAAUGCACACAGGCAAAUGCAAUUCCAAAAGGUCAAGUUUAUGGGCACUUACUCAGGGUCCUGCUCUUACUGGGAAUGUUUCUAUUGUACUGAGCAAUUGAACCUAUUUCUGGGUCUUCUGUGUGCUUGCUAUUACUUUAUUUUCAUACUGAUUUUGAGAUGAGGUAGAUCUGACACUCAGCAUCCUAUUUUUGAAGACCUGACCAUGCAUAGCAUUUUUUAUAUCAAGGAUAAAGGAACUGCCAGUCCUCCUUGCAAGAACUCUGAAUCAGGAGGUUGGUGAAGGAGCUGUGUUUCAUUGUUAAGUUGCUGGUCAGGGGCCAACAUAUUUUAUUUCUAUUGUUUUGUGGAGCUCGCAGAAAGAAUAUGUAGAAUAUAAAUGACAAGCAAAAAAGCUUUUUUAGUAUUGUUUGCAGCAGGGUUUUUUCCUCUGUAAAAUAUGGCCAUGAGUUUACAGCUCUGUAUAAAGCAUCACUAACAGGUUUGAAGAUUCUGUUCUCUAAUGUGAGUUUAAGCCCUUUUCUUUUACGUCUGAAAAAAGCUCUGUGAUUUUCCUCUUUGCCUUACACCCUCCAAACAGCAUGCUCCAAACUGUCCAACUCACCUUCAGGCAAAAUGUUCCCUCUGAUAACAAAAGCAUAUGCCCCAGAGACCAUUAACACAAUUAUUACAGAAGUACUCUGGAUCUCUGGAGAGAUCCCAGGACAUAAUUUACUGCACUUAAGUAUUUUUACUCACUGAAUUUCCCAGGCUGGCCUCAAUCCCUGGCGGGAGGCUAUUCCAGUUAAAGAUGCUACUUGUCUAAAGUCCUAGCCCUGGCUGAGCAGACCACAGCAGGAACCUCCCAAUAAUUUCAGCGUGGAUUGUGACUGCUGCCCAAAUGCUUUGUUGCUUCAUAUGGAAGUAUCAGAAUGUUGUAUGUCCUCCUGAAAGUAGUUCCUCAGCAGAGUUUGACUCCUAUGUACCAAAGCGUUUCCCAGUGUGGUAGAACAGAUUUACCAUCUGAUCAUGGUUCCACUUACAGGCGUUUGUUCUUCCUUUUGUUUUCCUUUCACUUCUACCCAUAUAUACCGGAAGAGAAACAUAUUUGCUCAGUGACUUUUCAAAAUACACAAGCUGUAUGCUUAUAUAAAGUAGUAAAUUUAUCUUGUCCAAGCUGACAAAUGCAUUUUUUGUAUCUUGUGAUUUUGUGUGCAUUUGGCUGUCAAGCAAGAAAAUUGCAUGGCCCUUAAGUUGCAAUAAAGAUGUUUCUGAAGUGUCUCUAUGCCUAAC